Molecule: ribosomal RNA, 254 nt
Filed under: uncultured bacterium
Lineage: Bacteria
Description: partial 16S ribosomal RNA
Rfam family: Bacterial small subunit ribosomal RNA
Source: RNAcentral
UACGUAGGGGGCAAGCGGUUGUCCGGAUUUAUUGGGCGUAAAGAGCGUGUAGGCGGUUAGGUAGGUCCGUUGUGAAAACUCGAGGCUCAACCUCGAGACGCCGAUGGAAACCAUCUAACUAGAGUCCGGAAGAGGAGAGUGGAAUUCCUGGUGUAGCGGUGAAAUGCGCAGAUAUCAGGAAGAACACCCGUGGCUAAGGCGGCUCUCUAGUACGGUACUGACGCUGAGACGCGAAAGCGUGGGGAGCGAACAGG